Molecule: ribosomal RNA, 478 nt
Filed under: uncultured bacterium
Lineage: Bacteria
Description: partial 16S ribosomal RNA
Rfam family: Bacterial small subunit ribosomal RNA
Source: RNAcentral
UGGGGAAUUUUGGACAAUGGGCGAAAGCCUGAUCCAGCAAUGCCGCGUGUGUGAAGAAGGCCUUCGGGUUGUAAAGCACUUUUGUCCGGAAAGAAAUCCUUGGCUCUAAUACAGUCGGGGGAUGACGGUACCGGAAGAAUAAGCACCGGCUAACUACGUGCCAGCAGCCGCGGUAAUACGUAGGGUGCAAGCGUUAAUCGGAAUUACUGGGCGUAAAGCGUGCGCAGGCGGUUUGCUAAGACCGAAUGUGAAAUCCCCGGGCUCAACCUGGGAACUGCAUUGGUGACUGGCAGGCUAGAGUAUGGCAGAGGGGGGUAGAAUUCCACGUGUAGCAGUGAAAUGCGUAGAGAUGUGGAGGAAUACCGAUGGCGAAGGCAGCCCCCUGGGCCAAUACUGACGCUCAUGCACGAAAAGCGUGGGGAGCAAAACAGGAUUAGAUACCCUGGUAGUCCACGCCCUAAACGAUGUCAACUAGUUG